GACGAACGCUGGCGGCGUGCUUAACACAUGCAAGUCGAACGAACAGGUGCUGCUUUUGCUGCUCUCUCGAUUGGCGCACAGGUGUGUAUCACGUGUGUAACCUGUCCUUGUCUUUCUGAUAUCUUUUGGAAACUCCGGCUCUUAUCCCAUAUGAUCUCCUGCUCUAUGUUGUUCGUUGGUGAGUUUCGGUUGUUGUGGAUGUUCUCGCUGCUUAUCCGCUUGUUUGUGUGGUUGUGGCUUACCAAGGUUUUGACGGGUAGGCGGCCUGAGAGGGUUACCGGGCACAUGGGGACUGAGAGACGGCCCAGAAGCGUACGGGAGGCAGCAGGGGGGAAUAUUGCAGAAUGGGCGGAAGCCAGAGGCAGCAACGCUGCGAGCGGGAUGACGGGUUACGGGUGAUAAACCGAUGUGGAAGGUGAUAAAGAGUGAGUGACGGUAAUGGGUAAAGAAGCAACGGCUAACUACGUG
Molecule: ribosomal RNA, 468 nt
Filed under: uncultured bacterium
Lineage: Bacteria
Description: partial 16S ribosomal RNA
Rfam family: Bacterial small subunit ribosomal RNA
Source: RNAcentral